RNAcentral lists this ribosomal RNA (446 nucleotides) under uncultured bacterium. Its description in RNAcentral is "bacterial SSU rRNA". It matches the Rfam family "Bacterial small subunit ribosomal RNA", at positions 329 to 792 of the family's 1533-position model. The record is from RNAcentral.
GCCCAGACUCCUACGGGAGGCAGCAGUGGGGAAUAUUGCACAAUGGGGGAAACCCUGAUGCAGCAACGCCGCGUGAAGGAAGACGGUUUUCGGAUUGUAAACUUCUGUUCUUAGUGAAGAAGAAUGACGGUAGCUAAGGAGCAAGCCACGACUAACUACGUGCCAGCAGCCGCGGUAAUACGGAGGAUGCGAGCGUUAUCCGGAUUUAUUGGGUUUAAAGGGUGCGUAGGCGGAAUAUCAAGUCAGCGGUAAAAAUUCGGGGCUCAACCCCGUCGUGCCGUUGAAACUGAUGUUCUUGAGUGGGCGAGAAGUAUGCGGAAUGCGUGGUGUAGCGGUGAAAUGCAUAGAUAUCACGCAGAACUCCGAUUGCGAAGGCAGCAUACCGGCGCCCAACUGACGCUGAAGCACGAAAGCGUGGGUAUCGAACAGGAUUAGAUACCCCAGUA